AACCCUUUGUUGUCCGACUCUGUUGCCUCCGGGGCGACCCUGCCUUCGGGCGGGGGCUCCGGGUGGACACUUCAAACUCUUGCGUAACUUUGCAGUCUGAGUAAACUUAAUUAAUAAAUUAAAACUUUUAACAACGGAUCUCUUGGUUCUGGCAUCGAUGAAGAACGCAGCGAAAUGCGAUAAGUAAUGUGAAUUGCAGAAUUCAGUGAAUCAUCGAAUCUUUGAACGCACAUUGCGCCCCCUGGUAUUCCGGGGGGCAUGCCUGUUCGAGCGUCAUUUCACCACUCAAGCCUCGCUUGGUAUUGGGCAACGCGGUCCGCCGCGUGCCUCAAAUCGACCGGCUGGGUCUUCUGUCCCCUAAGCGUUGUGGAAACUAUUCGCUAAAGGGUGUUCGGGAGGCUACGCCGUAAAACAACCCCAUUUCUAAGGUUGACCUCGGAUCAGGUAGGGAUACCCGCUGAACUUAAGCAUAUCAAUAAGCGGAGGAA
RNAcentral lists this ribosomal RNA (488 nucleotides) under Cladosporium oxysporum. Its description in RNAcentral is "eukaryotic LSU rRNA". The stretch from base 123 to 276 matches the Rfam family "5.8S ribosomal RNA". The record is from RNAcentral. Lineage: Eukaryota; Fungi; Ascomycota; Dothideomycetes; Cladosporiales; Cladosporiaceae.